AGCAGCCGCGGUAAUUCCAGCUCCAAUAGCGUAUAUUAAAGUUGUUGCAGUUAAAAAGCUCGUAGUUGAAUUUCGGGGUUAGCAGGUCGGUCGUGCCAUCGGUAUGAACUGGUCUCGCUGAUCCCUCCCUCUUGACGAACUGUGAUGCCAUUAAUUUGGUGUCGCAGGGAAUCAGGACUGUUACUUUGAAAAAUUAGAGUGUUUAAAGCAGGCUCACGCUUGAAUACAUUAGCAUGGAAUAAUGAAAUAGGACGUUUGAUCCUAUUUUGUUGGCUUCUAGGAUUGACGUAAUGAUUAAUAGGGAUAGUUGGGGGCAUUAGUAUUCAAUUGUCAGAGGUGAAAUUCUUGGAUUUAUUGAAGACUAACUACUGCGAAAGCAUUUGCCAAGGAUGUUUUCAUUAAUCAAGAACGAAAGUUAGGGGAUCGAAGACGAUCAGAUACCGUCGUAGUCUUAACCAUAAACUAUGCCGACUAGGGAUCGGGAUGAUGUUAAUUUUUAAUGACU
RNAcentral lists this ribosomal RNA (505 nucleotides) under uncultured Glomus. RNAcentral describes it as "SSU rRNA". It matches the Rfam family "Eukaryotic small subunit ribosomal RNA", at positions 569 to 1080 of the family's 1831-position model. Lineage: Eukaryota; Fungi; Glomeromycota; Glomeromycetes; Glomerales; Glomeraceae. The record is from RNAcentral.